RNAcentral lists this ribosomal RNA (406 nucleotides) under uncultured bacterium. RNAcentral's name for it is "partial 16S ribosomal RNA". It matches the Rfam family "Bacterial small subunit ribosomal RNA", at positions 30 to 526 of the family's 1533-position model. The record is from RNAcentral.
AUUGAACGCUGGCGGCAGGCCUAACACACGCAAGUCGGGCGAGCGGCGGACGGGUGAGUAAUGUAUGGGGAUCUGUCUGAUGGCGGGGGAUAACUACGGGAAACGGUAGCUAAUACCGCAUACCAUCAGAUGAACCCAUAGGGGAUUAGCUAGUAGGUAAGGUAACGGCGUACCUAGGCGACGAUCCCUAGCUGGUCUGAGAGGAUGAUCAGUCACACUGCGACUUGGACACGGCCCAGACUCAUGCGCGAGGCCGCCGUAGGGAUUAUGGAACAAUGGGCGCAAGCCUGAUGCAGCCACGCCGCGUGUGUGAAGAAGGCCUUCGGGUUGUAAAGCACUUUCAGCGAGGAGGCGUUACUCGCAGAAGAAUCACCGGCUAACUCCGUGACAGCAGCCGCGAUAAUAC